UGGUGGAGUGAUUUGUCUGCUUAAUUGCGAUAACGAACGAGACCUUAACCUACUAAAUAGCUACUAGAAGCCUAGCUUUUAGGACAGCUUCUUAGGGGGACUUUGUAAGAAAAUUACAAGGAGGUUUGAGGCAAUAACA
This 139-nucleotide ribosomal RNA is filed under the name uncultured eukaryote. RNAcentral's name for it is "partial 18S ribosomal RNA". It matches the Rfam family "Eukaryotic small subunit ribosomal RNA", at positions 1299 to 1458 of the family's 1831-position model. The record is from RNAcentral.